GAAAUAAACCUGAUGGGUUGUUGCUGGUUCUCUAGGGAGCAUGUGCACACCUUGUCAUCUUUAUAUCUCCACCUGUGCACUUUUUGUAGACCUUUCAGGUCUAUGUUGCUUCAUUUACCCCAAUGUAUGUCAAUAGAAUGUUGUGCCUAUAUAAUAUAUACAACUUUCAGCAACGGAUCUCUUGGCUCUCGCAUCGAUGAAGAACGCAGCGAAAUGCGAUAAGUAAUGUGAAUUGCAGAAUUCAGUGAAUCAUCGAAUCUUUGAACGCACCUUGCGCUCCUUGGUAUUCCGAGGAGCAUGCCUGUUUGAGUGUCAUUAAUAUAUCAACCUUCUCUUUUUUGAGUUGUUUGGAUGUGGGGGUUUGCUGGCCUCUUAAAUGAUUCAGCUCCCCUGAAAUGCAUUAGCAGAACAACCUGUUCAUUGGCGUGAUAAUUAUCUAUGCUAUUGAAUGUGAGGGCAGUUCAGCUUUCUAACCGUCCUCGGACAAUUCAUCAUUAAUGUGACCUCAAAUCAGGUAGGACUACCCGCU
RNAcentral lists this small RNA (529 nucleotides) under uncultured Cortinarius. RNAcentral's name for it is "eukaryotic LSU rRNA". The stretch from base 162 to 315 matches the Rfam family "5.8S ribosomal RNA". The record is from RNAcentral. Lineage: Eukaryota; Fungi; Basidiomycota; Agaricomycetes; Agaricales; Cortinariaceae.